This 305-nucleotide ribosomal RNA is filed under the name uncultured bacterium. RNAcentral describes it as "partial 16S ribosomal RNA". It matches the Rfam family "Bacterial small subunit ribosomal RNA", at positions 508 to 807 of the family's 1533-position model. The record is from RNAcentral.
ACAGCAGUAGCCGCGGGAAUACGAAGGGGGCUAGCGUUGCUCGGAAUCACUGGGCGUAAAGGGUGCGUAGGCGGGUCUUUAAGUCAGGGGUGAAAUCCUGGAGCUCAACUCCAGAACUGCCUUUGAUACUGAAGAUCUUGAGUUCGGGAGAGGUGAGUGGAACUGCGAGUGUAGAGGCGAAAUUCGUAGAUAUUCGCAAGAACACUAGUGGCGAAGGCGGCUCACUGGCCCGAUACUGACGCUGGGGCACGAAAGCGUGGGGAGCAAACAGGAUUAGAUACCCGUGUAGUCCCUGUCUCUUAUAC